Molecule: long non-coding RNA, 663 nt
Filed under: Mytilus galloprovincialis (Mediterranean mussel)
Lineage: Eukaryota; Metazoa; Mollusca; Bivalvia; Mytilida; Mytilidae
Source: RNAcentral
UGACUACUGCAGAAUAAUGAAUUUUAUCAAAUAAGCAUGCAUUUAAUAUAUUUAAUUAACUUAAAACACUUCCACACUCUUAAAUGAUGCACAUGUUGUUACUGAUUCAUUUAUUAUGACUGUAAUGUGUUGCAAAUGGAAAUUGACAUAUUUGACCUAGAUACAUUGUACGACAGCUGUUAAUGCUGGCUGUUCAAACUCCUCCCUCUGAAAAAUCACAUUGCCAGUCGUUUGCCUUUUUACAAACGAAAAAGGGAGGUUCAGUGAAGAGCUUACACAAACACUGUACACUUAUAUACAUCGGACAUAAAUAUUAUUUUAGCCCUCACUAUCACUCGUGCAAAAAUAAUCACGAAUAUAAUGCCUACCCAUGUUAAAACAAAUAAAGUAUAGCUUCCAUCAAUUAUCUCUUAAUUUGACUUAUCAAUAAUAGACCAAACUGAUAAUCCAAACUUAUUAAGCCAUCUUUCUGUUUCUAUUAGGAAAAAAACAGCUAAAUACAUACUAUCUGCUUCUUGGCACAAUAUUAUGGUUUUUAUAUGACCGCAAAAAUUUUUUGGUCGUAUAUUGGAAUCACGUUGGCCGAAGACUUUUGGUUUUCACACUAUAACUUUAGUAUAAGUCAUAGAAAUCUAUGAAAUUUAAACACAAGGUUUAUGACCA